UUCGCCCUUAGAGUUUGAUCCUGGCUCAGGAUGAACGCUGGCGGCGUGCUUAACACAUGCAAGUCGAACGGGGGUCAUCGGGUGGAACUUUUCGGAGGGAAGCCUUAUGACUCGAGUGGCGGACGGGUGAGUAACACGUGAGUAACCUGCCUUUUGCCGGGGAAUAACUGUGGGAAACCAUGGCUAAUACCGCAUAUUGUGUCUACAAGGCAUCUUGUGGAUAUGAAAGGAGCAAUCCGGCAGAAGAUGGGCUCGCGUCCGAUUAGGUAGUUGGUGGGGUAAUGGCCUACCAAGCCUGCGAUCGGUAGCCGGACUGAGAGGUCGAACGGCCACAUUGGGACUGAGACACGGCCCAGACUCCUACGGGAGGCAGCAGUGGGGAAUUUUGGGCAAUGGGGGAAACCCUGACCCAGCGACGCCGCGUGAAGGACGAAGGCCUUCGGGUUGUAAACUUCUUUAGGGAGGGACGAAAAUGACGGUACCUCCAGAAUAAGCCACGGCUAACUACGUGCCAGCAGCCGCGGUAAUACGUAGGUGGCAAGCGUUAUCCGGAUUUACUGGGUGUAAAGGGCGCGCAGGCGGCCCUGCAAGUCAGAUGUGAAAGCUCAAGGCUUAACCUUGGAAUGUCAUCUGAAACUGUGGGACUUGAGUAUCAGAGGGGAAAGUGGAAUUCCUGGUGGAGCGGUAAAAUGCGCAGAGAUCAGGAGGAACACCGGUGGCGAAGGCGACUUUCUGGCUGACAACUGACGCUGAGGCGCGAAAGCGUGGGGAGCAAACAAAAGGAGAUACCCUGGUAGUCCACGCCGUAAACGAUGAUUACUGGGUGUAGGGGGUAUCGACUCCCUCUGUGCCGAAGCUAACGCGAUAAGUAAUCCACCUGGGGAGUACGGCCGCAAGGCUAAAACUCAAAGGAAUUGACGGGGGCCCGCACAAGCAGUGGAGUAUGUGGUUUAAUUCGAGGCAACGCGAAGAACCUUACCAGGGUUUGACAUCCCGCGCUAGAGGUAGAGAUACCUUGUUCCCUUCGGGGACGCGGAGACAGGUGGUGCAUGGUUGUCGUCAGCUCGUGUCGUGAGAUGUUCGGUUAAGUCCGGCAACGAGCGCAACCCUCGUGGCCAGUUGCCAUCACGUCAAGGUGGGCACUCUAAGGAGACUGCCGGUGACAAACCGGAGGAAGGUGGGGAGGACGUCAAAUCCUCAUGCCCCCUAUGUUCUGGGCUACACACGUGCUACAAUGGCCUGUACAACGGGUUGCGAAGGGGUGACCUGGAGCUAAUCCUCUAAAACAGGUCUCAGUUCGGAUUGCAGGCUGUAACUCGCCUGCAUGAAGUCGGAAUCGCUAGUAAUCGUGGAUCAGCAUGCCGCGGCGAAUAAAAGGCCGGGCCUUGCACUCCCCGCCCGUCA
This 1404-nucleotide ribosomal RNA is filed under the name uncultured bacterium. Its description in RNAcentral is "16S ribosomal RNA". It matches the Rfam family "Bacterial small subunit ribosomal RNA". The record is from RNAcentral.